GGAGAGGUGGCAGAGUGGUCGAAUGCACCGGUCUUGAAAACCGGAGUGCCAGAAAUGGUACCGCGAGAUCGAAUCUCGCCCUCUCCG
RNAcentral lists this transfer RNA (87 nucleotides) under Candidatus Komeilibacteria bacterium. Its description in RNAcentral is "tRNA-Ser". It matches the Rfam family "tRNA". From Rfam's summary of the family: Transfer RNA (tRNA) molecules are approximately 80 nucleotides in length. Their secondary structure includes four short double-helical elements and three loops (D, anti-codon, and T loops). Further hydrogen bonds mediate the characteristic L-shaped molecular structure. tRNAs have two regions of fundamental functional importance: the anti-codon, which is responsible for specific mRNA codon recognition, and the 3' end, to which the tRNAs corresponding amino acid is attached (by aminoacyl-tRNA synthetases). tRNAs cope with the degeneracy of the genetic code in two manners: having more than one tRNA (with a specific anti-codon) for a particular amino acid; and 'wobble' base-pairing, i.e. permitting non-standard base-pairing at the 3rd anti-codon position. Lineage: Bacteria; Candidatus Komeiliibacteriota. The record is from RNAcentral.